RNAcentral lists this unclassified non-coding RNA (200 nucleotides) under soil metagenome. Its description in RNAcentral is "partial contains internal transcribed spacer 2 and large subunit ribosomal RNA". The record is from RNAcentral.
GGAGGUCUUUGGCGGUAUCUAUUAGAGAUCGCCUCCUCUUAAAUGCAUUAGUGCGACUCGUUGUUUCGUAACCUUCGGUGUGAUAAUUAUCUACGUCGUCGGAUUCGUUACUGUUAAGAGACGUGCUUUCUAACCGUCCAUUAUUGGACAAUUUUAUGAAACUUGACCUCAAAUCAGGUGGGACUACCCGCUGAACUUAA